GAUUGGUAGAAGACAUUGUAGACUGAGAUCAGAGUUGAAACUUAUUCUGUGUACUCACUUUUUCACCUUUACUCUUUCUGUACAGGUUACCUACAUUUGAGACAAUUUUCUAGUCCACAGAAACACAGACUCCAAUAUUACAGCUGUGACAAUUGCUUAAAAAGAACUAUAAUAGAAUCUCUGAAAACAAGUACUGCACAUGUGUAUCACAUUUUGGGAAGACACGUAUGAUGAGGAAUGCUGUGAGGAGAGAUUUGCGUUUGUGCCUGAUGUGUGCAGGAAAAGAAAAAGGGAGCAGGAAGCUGAUACCUUGGCGGACGAGCUGAUGGAAGAGCUGAGUGGAGGCUCCUGAGGGCAAUGUAAACCUGUACAAGAAGUCUCUGCAAAUGAGCUCUUUUUUUUUUAUCAUAUUUCUGCCAUGUUACUUGAAAAUAUCUAUUUCAUCAUGUGUCAUAAGAUCAGUUCUCAUAAACUGUUUACAGAUUCUACACAUGUGUGAGUCUUAACAUGUAUUUAUAUCCUUUCUAUAUUAGAGGGGUGAACAAAAUAAAGCAAGACAAAACAAAACAUAGUCCUAUAAACAAAUGAAACAAAAAAGACAUAUAAGACCAUUGUACAAGGAGUUCUAUCAUAGUUCCUGUGUUGUCUCUUGUUAUCUUCAAAAGAAUUGGCUAUAUCACCAGACAUAGUAUAACUGAAUGUAUUAGUACAUAACAGUAUUAAUAAAAACACAACUUUGUAUAUAGUAUAAAACUUCAAAAGCAGGCAGAAUGUGUAUUGUAUUGUAUUGUAUUAUCAAACCAGAAUGUGUAUUGUAGAGUCUUGUCAUCUUCAGUGUAAGUUGCCUGUACUCUCAGACUUGAUACUAUCAAUCAUAUCAGUUUUGAAUAAAAUCUGUCAAUACCAAACAGCAAUCAAACAAACCAGAUUUAACUAAGAUCAAUCAUGAUAAAACAGUAUAAGUCAUACAGGGCUCCAGAUUAAGAUAAUAGGAAAUUAAAGAUGAUUAUUGUGCUAUAUCCUGCUGUUUUUGGGAUAGCUCUCUGUGUCCUCAAAUCUAAUGCAAGUAGACAAACUGGA
This 1080-nucleotide long non-coding RNA is filed under the name Cavia porcellus (domestic guinea pig). Its description in RNAcentral is "lncRNA (ENSCPOG00000036332.1)". The record is from RNAcentral. Lineage: Eukaryota; Metazoa; Chordata; Mammalia; Rodentia; Caviidae.